This 76-nucleotide transfer RNA is filed under the name Eubacterium sp. RNAcentral's name for it is "tRNA-Thr". It matches the Rfam family "tRNA". From Rfam's summary of the family: Transfer RNA (tRNA) molecules are approximately 80 nucleotides in length. Their secondary structure includes four short double-helical elements and three loops (D, anti-codon, and T loops). The record is from RNAcentral. Lineage: Bacteria; Bacillati; Bacillota; Clostridia; Eubacteriales; Eubacteriaceae.
GCUGAUGUGGCGCAGCUGGUAGCGCAACUGAUUCGUAAUCAGUAGGCCGUCGGUUCGAAUCCGAUCAUCAGCUCCA